CACGUAGGGGGCAAGCGUUGUCCGGAAUCAUUGGGCGUAAAGAGCUCGUAGGCGGUUUGUCGCGUCUGCUGUGAAAACCCGAGGCUCAACCUCGGGCCUGCAGUGGGUACGGGCAGACUAGAGUGCGGUAGGGGAGAUUGGAAUUCCUGGUGUAGCGGUGGAAUGCGCAGAUAUCAGGAGGAACACCGAUGGCGAAGGCAGAUCUCUGGGCCGUAACUGACGCUGAGGAGCGAAAGCGUGGGGAGCGAACAGG
Molecule: ribosomal RNA, 253 nt
Filed under: uncultured bacterium
Lineage: Bacteria
Description: partial 16S ribosomal RNA
Rfam family: Bacterial small subunit ribosomal RNA
Source: RNAcentral